AGGCGGAGGCUCCGCGACUGAGCCACCCAGGUGCCCCGGGGCCACGGGCAUCUUGUCCAGACUGGGUCUUCCCACUGAUGAGCCGCGUAUGUGACUUCUUUGAUCUUCCUUGAACUCCCAGCAAUGACUUGUACGUUUCAGUGGACACACCCUGGACACCUUCUGCCAGAUUUGUCUCCGACUGUUUAUAUUUUUGGAACGAUUGCAAAUUACACUUAAAAUCUUUUUAAAUUUCUGAUUGUGGCUAUUACAUAGAAGACAGUUGAUUUUUAUACACUGGUGUUUGUCCCACAAACUCGUUAAACUCACUUGUAUGUUCUAGAAGGUUUAUUUUGUAGGUUCUGUUACAUUUUCUGCGUGGAUGACCGCUGCUAUUUAAAUAACGUAAAGGCAGCUCCGUUUCCUCCUUUCCAAUCUGAGGGUGUCUUCCCCUUUCACUUCUUGCGCUGGCUCAGACUCGCGCGGCGAACGGAGGGGAAGAGGUGGGACCAUCCCUCGUCCCCCUCCUGGUCCUCCGGGAAAGCUGCGGGUCUUCCCAUCACGCUGAGGAUGGGCUUGGCCGUGGGUCUUCCACAGACACCCGUUACCAGGGCGAGGAAAGCCCCUUCUUUCCCUAGUUUGCGGAGUGUUUGGUUCGGGAAUGGAUGCUGACCUUACCGAAUGCUUUUCUCUGCCUCUAUUUUGAGAUAAUCAUAACAUUUUCCUCCUUCUAGUUUGUUAACACGGUGAGCUCUAUCGAUUGAUUUUCAAAUGUGAAAUCAAACUUUCAUUCCUGAGAAAAAUCGCGCCGGGUCAGACAGAUCAUCCCCUCGGGUCUGUCCUCGCUGACACUCGGGGAAGGAUCUUCGCGCCCAUGUUCCCGGGGGGUUAUUGGCCUGUAGUUUCCUUUUUCUUGUAACGUCUUUGCCUGGUUUUCACGCCAGGGCGAUCGAGGCAGGCCUCCUCCGCAAGCUGGCAAGUGCUAUCUCCCCUUCAGUUUUCCGAAAAGGCUUGUGUACUGUUGGUGGUAUUUCUUCCUUCAGGGCUGGGUAGAAUUCACCUGUGAAGCCCUCUGGGCCUGGGCUUACUCUGUGGGGUGGUUUCUCCAUGCUGUUUUGAUGGGUCCAGGCAGAUUUUUUUAAAAAAGAUUUUACUUAUUUAUUCACGAGAGACAGCGAGGCAGAGAGAGAGAAGCAGGCUCCCCGUGGCGCAGGGAGCCCGAUGGGGGACUCGAUCCCAGGACCUCCCGAGACCAUGAACUGAGCCGAAACCGAGUCCGACGCUUCACCGACUGAGGCCCCCAGGUGCCCCCAUAUGUACAGAUCUUUUCAGUGGUGCAGAAACUUCCUCCUCCCCUUUUCCCUCUCUGAGCCCGGUCUCCAGAGGCAAGCACGUCGCGGGCCCUUAGCUCAUUCUGGCCAUUGCUUCCAGAUGACACACUUGCUCACUCGCUCAUUUGACAAAUAUUUGCUGAGGGCCGGCCUCUGCGUGGGGGACCUAUUGCAGGCUCCUGUGAAACUUCAUGAACGAGACAAAGGGCCCUGCCCGCCCGGAGCUUCGUCCUGGGGUGGACAUAAUUCCAGCGGACAGACACACAGAGGACAUCGUGAAUAGCAGGUGCUCCCUGGUGCUCCCACCCCCAUACGUGACUGGCCCUCUGGGCUUCAGGUUCUGUCCAUAAGGGAGCAGACUGAACGGAUGACAGAAGGUUCUUCCAGCUCUGGAAUGCAUUCUGUAACUCUAGACAAGUCCGACCGUCAUGGCUUCUUUCCCAGGGCAGGCAAGGAAUAGAAACAGAGAGGGCGAGUGGUUUUCUCCGGGCCACACAGCAGGUCAGUACAAACAACGCGGCAAAGUCCGUCAGCACGUAGCGGUAAAGACAUAACGUCUCCACGUGUCAGGGUAUCCAGGAAGAAUUCUUAGAACUGGAAUUGUUGGCUCGAAGAGACGGAUCAAGCUUCAUAACUUGGUCAGAAGCUGAAAAAAUGUUCCCCCCGAAGUUCACUGAUGUAUGCGCACCAGAGCUUCGUGUGCCCCCUAAACGGUGUGUGAUCAGAGUUUCUGAUCUUUUUACUAAGCUUUAAAUAAAAAAGCUAAAAAUUGUAUUUCAGGAUAGUUUGCAUUUAUGAAAAAAAAAAACAUGAGUAACAAAAGAAUCAAUAAUUUGGACCUCGUCAGAAUUAGACACUUUUGUACAUCAGAGGACAUUAUCCCGAAA
Long non-coding RNA from Mustela lutreola (European mink), 2197 nucleotides. RefSeq lists it as uncharacterized. NCBI's taxonomy places the organism in Eukaryota, Metazoa, Chordata, Mammalia, Carnivora, Mustelidae. The record is from RefSeq and is a predicted model, not a curated record. The transcript is spliced from 2 exons.